Molecule: long non-coding RNA, 2992 nt
Organism: Cygnus olor (mute swan)
Lineage: Eukaryota; Metazoa; Chordata; Aves; Anseriformes; Anatidae
Exons: 3
Source: RefSeq, a predicted model, not a curated record
AUUGUAGACCAUGGUUACAACAUCAGUCUUGGAGAAAUGAACAAGAUCUGCUCUCGAGGUUAAAACUUGGUCUGGGCGAAGUGUUCCUGGAGAAACCUCGGAGCGGAGAAUUUAGCUUGUGGUACAGUGGAGCUGAGCCCACUUCAAGCUGUGUAGCUCUUAAUGUAUACUUGCUUAUGUUGAACAUAUGAAUAACUUGCUGAAUAGUGGGGUGCUACCUGGACGCUUAACUUUUAAGCACUGAGGAAGCAGGUUGUUACAUGGGGAAGUCUAAAACCACUCAGAAGUGUAAAGAUGAAAAUGUUGCACAUAAGUGCUAUGUUAAAACCAGUGACCCAUCAGUGCACAGCAAGAAUGUGCUUACCCUUCUGAUCUGCUUCUGGCCGUCCAGUUCUUGCUUUUUUUUUUUUUGUGUUUGAGCUUGUGCAGCUCAGAGAAGAAGUUUUGUGAUUCAAAGUUGGAACUUCUCCCAGGUGUGGCUGAACUCCCCCUACCACCACACUCACCAGGGUUCAGCAUCAGCCUCCAGUCUGUUGUUUUCUCUGCCUCUCUGGCUCACAGGAGGCUGCAAGACUGCUGCUUUGCUGGAUUCUUUCCUAGUUGCAGGCUGCCUGUCCACUCACAGAAGUGGAGCCCCGUCUUCUAACUCUGGACCUUGAGGACUCUUAUUUGAUGGUACCAUCAUAAUGCAAAUCAUUGAUUCUUGGGCAUGGACAGAGAGGAGGGUUACCUGAGGAGUUUAUCCUCAUUUACUGGGAUAGGAGAGGACUGCAACUUGCCACACUUUGAUGUAUCAUACUAUAAAUGAGAUCACAGUCAGCGUGUGCCUUUGCCCAUACAUGCAACUGUUUGUCUUAGAAGAAAACAUGUCCAGUAAUAUAAAAUAAAUAAAUAAAUAAAAUCCUGGGGGAUUUCCUGGGUCAGUUCCAUGCUGUCUAGGAUAAUUUUUUAUUCAAGAUUUGUGAUCGUCUGAAGGUUGACCAUGCUGUUCUGAUGUAGUUUGUGGUGAUUUGCUAUUUCAGCUAGCUUUCUCUGACCUUCAUCACAAUUAAAUCAGGUCUGAAUACUGUGAAAGUGCAUUUUUUUCUCAUUUUUGAAAUUUUUGGAUGACUGAGAUAUGUUAUAAAACUAGGUUACAUAAAUUGCUUGUAAAGUUUUCCUUAUUUGUUCAGGCCUUCAGCAAGGAAAUACACAUUCAACACAAGUAUCAGUUUGAGGUAUCGUAUGGUACAUAAUUGUAGGAUAGAGACAUUCACAACAUUUUCCCACAUUCUUUCCAUAAUGAAAGAUAACACAGAGCUAGCUUCUAGAAAACAUGACACCAUGACUACUUAUUUUUUUUAAAAUCUUGAUUAUCUUUUAAUAUUUUGAAUAAUUUUUAGGACUAGAACUUCUUCAUGCUUAUUUGGUAGUGAAUUUUCCACUUGUAACUGUUAAGGACUUUACAUGAUGUUUGAAGAGCUGCAUCUAACUGUUAGUGUUCCAUGCAGCUUUUCAAAAGGCCUGGCAGAUGUGAAAAAUAAAAUGUAAACUAGGCAAUGCAAAAUGAAAUAUUAAUGGACAGAGUUCAUCCCUUAGUCGUCAUCUUGUUAACUGACACAAUUCUUAAACAAUCCUCAUUAUUCUGGGUCAUCCAGUCUCAUGGAAACUCAAAUUACAAGUAUUUGUUCUUUGUUCUUUGACUAACACUUAAUAAAAUUAGUUUCACGUUCAGAUAUACAGGAAAAUAACAGGGGAAAAACUCCAGGUACUUGUUUCUGUCAGUGAAUCAGCACUUGCAAAGCUCUGAAAUUAAUUGUUUAGCAUGCUCAUUACUCUUAGAAAAAAUAAAUAUGUUCUCAUUAUGCUCACUUGGUGAACAUAUGUACCUUGGAAUACAUUUAAUGUUACUUGCUGUGAGGGAGAUUACAACUCUUUUUAAGGAAAUUGGGUAGAUUAAUGGAAUGGGGUGGGUUAAAUUGCUCUCCACAUGCAUUCCCUAGCAUGCCUAGCCUACUCCUGAAUUUCAAUUGAUAUGUAUAAAGCAGUUUAGCUAAGGAUGCUCUGUGAAGCAACUGGAGUAAAACAGGAUAUCUGUGUAUUACAGGGGCUGAACUUGGUAAAUGUGUUGUAUGCUAAAACAAACCAAACAACACAUGGGACCACAUUUAUACUCAGUCAUAAUCUGUAUGUGAACAGUUGCGUUUUCAGCAACUUCAUUAUGGCUGUAUGUAUAUUGAUCUGUGGUGAACCUCAGCAGGGGAUUUGGGUCUGUUACUAAGAAUCUUCCCAACAAAUUAGUGGGCAGAAUCCAUGAAAAGAACAACUUUGUCUUGUCAGUAAGUAUAUGCAGUUUCAGUACUGCAACCUGUGACAGAGCCUGCAGAGGGUCUUUCUGAUCCUUAUUCUACCUUUGAGCUACCAGUAGCAAAGAUGAGGAUCACUAAGGACUAAAUACUAUUGGUGCAACUCAUUGGUUUCAGGAGGAGUUCUUCCAGAGGCAGAGUAAUCUUCAGUGUUCAAUUUUUAACCAGACUUCCUGUUAUAAAUGAGAGCUAAGGUCCAAGUAACUACGACAGCUUGCUAGGGUUGUUAAUUUGAAAAAAAUGCUGAAGAUGUCAAAGUUUAGUGCUUUAAAGGAAAACUCUCAAAACUGGGAGUAUCUCCACAUAUUUUGCAGACCAUGCUAGGCUCCCAGGGCUUCUUUAAGACUGCCUUGAGGGUAGCAACAGUCCCAUCAACAAUGUAAAUUGUACUUUUAUUUUUCUUAACACCAUUGUCUGAAUUUGGCCCAUUGAAGAGGCUAAAAGCCCGGGACGUGGGUUUUAGAAGAUGGAAGAGCCCCAUGUGAUUCAUGCUUAUCACCGAUGUGUUAACUUGAAAGAAACACGAAGGAUGUUUUGCUGUAGUGCAAUACGGUGGUGUAAGAUGAUGAUGUAUGCCUCAGAAGCAGAGGUGGCAUCAUUCUGUGGAAGACUGCAAUCUACUCCAAAAGCAAAAGAAAAAAAAAAAA